AGGAGGAACAGCCCCAGUGGCGGGGCAGCUCUGGAGCCCUGGAUUCAGCUCCGGCAGGAACUCCGUCUGCAGGGCCUGGAGGCUCCGGGGCGGG
Canis lupus familiaris (dog) is the source of this 94-nucleotide non-coding RNA. The record is from Rfam. NCBI's taxonomy places the organism in Eukaryota, Metazoa, Chordata, Mammalia, Carnivora, Canidae.